This 24-nucleotide non-coding RNA is filed under the name Cricetulus griseus (Chinese hamster). Lineage: Eukaryota; Metazoa; Chordata; Mammalia; Rodentia; Cricetidae. The record is from RNAcentral.
AACCGCUGAGGUCGUCACUGCUGC